This 253-nucleotide ribosomal RNA is filed under the name uncultured bacterium. Its description in RNAcentral is "partial 16S ribosomal RNA". It matches the Rfam family "Bacterial small subunit ribosomal RNA", at positions 524 to 776 of the family's 1533-position model. The record is from RNAcentral.
UACGGGGGGGGCAAGCGUUGUUCGGAAUUACUGGGCGUAAAGGGUUUGUAGGUGGCUUGUUAAGUCAGACGUGAAAUCCCUCAGCUUAACUGGGGAACUGCGUCUGAUACUGGCGAGCUUGAGUGCAGGAGAGGAACGCGGAAUUCCAGGUGUAGCGGUGAAAUGCGUAGAUAUCUGGAGGAACACCGGUGGCGAAGGCGGCGAUCUGGGUAGAUACUGACGCUGAGGUGCGAAAGCGUGGGGAGCAAACAGG